Molecule: long non-coding RNA, 199 nt
Filed under: Solanum tuberosum (potato)
Lineage: Eukaryota; Viridiplantae; Streptophyta; Magnoliopsida; Solanales; Solanaceae
Description: long non-coding RNA (STUB_LNC007321)
Source: RNAcentral
AAACCAUAUAAUCUAGAAAACACACAAUUAAUUAUAACUUAUAAAAACAAAAAGAUCACAAUAAAAAGAGCAAUAUGAAAAUUUAUAUACUUGCGAAAAUAAUAGUAGAAAAUUACUAUAAUAGAUACUAUACUCCAAUGAUAGAUACAGGAGCAGAAGCAAAUAUGUGUAAACAUAAUUGUCUACCAGAUGAAAAAUG